GCAUCCUUAGCUCAAUGGUAGAGCGGCUGACUUGUAAACAGCGGGUUGCGUGUUCGAAUCACGCAGGGUGCUCCA
Molecule: transfer RNA, 75 nt
Filed under: Caudoviricetes sp.
Lineage: Duplodnaviria; Heunggongvirae; Uroviricota; Caudoviricetes
Description: tRNA-Thr
Rfam family: tRNA
About the family: Transfer RNA (tRNA) molecules are approximately 80 nucleotides in length. Their secondary structure includes four short double-helical elements and three loops (D, anti-codon, and T loops). Further hydrogen bonds mediate the characteristic L-shaped molecular structure. tRNAs have two regions of fundamental functional importance: the anti-codon, which is responsible for specific mRNA codon recognition, and the 3' end, to which the tRNAs corresponding amino acid is attached (by aminoacyl-tRNA synthetases). tRNAs cope with the degeneracy of the genetic code in two manners: having more than one tRNA (with a specific anti-codon) for a particular amino acid; and 'wobble' base-pairing, i.e. permitting non-standard base-pairing at the 3rd anti-codon position.
Source: RNAcentral